RNAcentral lists this ribosomal RNA (234 nucleotides) under uncultured bacterium. RNAcentral describes it as "partial 16S ribosomal RNA". It matches the Rfam family "Bacterial small subunit ribosomal RNA", at positions 96 to 334 of the family's 1533-position model. The record is from RNAcentral.
CGGCGAACGGGUGAGUAAUGCUUUGGAAUCUUCCCAGUAGUGGGGAAUAACCAGUCGAAGAUUGGCUAAUACCGCAUACGUCUGUAAAGGGAAAGCGGGGGCUCGUAAGACCUCGCGCUAUUGGAUGAGCCAAAGUCGGAUUAGCUUGUUGGUGGGGUAAUGGCCUACCAAGGCGACAAUCCGUAGCUGGUCUGAGAGGACGACCAGCCACACCGGAACUGAGACACGGUCCGG